GACGAACGCUGGCGGCGUGCUUAACACAUGCAAGUCGAACGCUGAAGCUUGGUGCUUGCACUGGGUGGAUGAGUGGCGAACGGGUGAGUAAUACGUGAGUAACCUGCCCUUGACUCUGGGAUAAGCCUGGGAAACUGGGUCUAAUACUGGAUACGACAUGCCACUGCAUGGUGGUGUGUGGAAAGGGUUUUACUGGUUUUGGAUGGGCUCACGGCCUAUCAGCUUGUUGGUGGGGUAAUGGCCUACCAAGGCGACGACGGGUAGCCGGCCUGAGAGGGUGACCGGCCACACUGGGACUGAGACACGGCCCAGACUCCUACGGGAGGCAGCAGUGGGGAAUAUUGCACAAUGGGCGGAAGCCUGAUGCAGCGACGCCGCGUGAGGGAUGACGGCCUUCGGGUUGUAAACCUCUUUCAGCACGGAAGAAGCGAGAGUGACGGUACGUGAAGAAGAAGCGCCGGCUAACUACGUG
Molecule: ribosomal RNA, 472 nt
Filed under: uncultured bacterium
Lineage: Bacteria
Description: partial 16S ribosomal RNA
Rfam family: Bacterial small subunit ribosomal RNA
Source: RNAcentral